This is a long non-coding RNA of Camelus dromedarius (Arabian camel), 886 nucleotides long. RefSeq lists it as uncharacterized. The record is from RefSeq and is a predicted model, not a curated record. The transcript has 3 exons. Lineage: Eukaryota; Metazoa; Chordata; Mammalia; Artiodactyla; Camelidae.
CCGUGACAAAACAGGGCAGGAAGAAACGAUGAUGUCACCUGGAAUGUUGACCUCAGGCACGUGCUUCAGAGUCUGGAGGGCUCCACCCACAUGACCCAACUACCUUCCAAAGGCCCCCCUCUCCUGAUACCAUCCCUUUGAGGAUUUCAGCUUCAGCACAGGAGUUUCGGGGCAAACAUCAGUCCAUGGCCUGAGGUCAUUAGCGUGAGCUCUGAUCCAGUAUGACUGGAGUCUUCAUAAAAGGGGAAACCUGGACCCGGAGACAGGCAUGCACAGAGGGAGAAGGUGACCACUUUGCACGUCCUGGGGAGGAGCCUAGAGCGGAUGCUUCCCUGCUGCCUUCAGAUGGAGCACGGCCCUGUCCACACCUUGAUCCAGGACGUAUGACCUCCAGCCUGCCAUCACACUAUCUACCUUGAGGACGACUGAGGUGGGCCAUCUAUUGACCGGGAUUCAGCCCAGGAGGAGUCAGAUUUAUUACCAAGAUUCCCUGCUCUCCAGUGCUUGUGCCGCCAAAAGUUCGACCGUAUCCAGCUGUUUCCUAAGGAUGCUGUGCAGAAAUAAAUCGGACAGGACAGUCGGAGGACUGGCAGCAGCAGCAGCAGCUCUUACCAUCACUCUCAGCGAACUCAGUCCUGCCCUGGAACCACCUGUGUCAAACUGGGACAGUGGGGAGGGUCCGGAUGGAUGGAAGGAGGGCCUUCUGUGUGUGCCAAUUGGUCUGGCAAACAAAUACUUACCAUUGCGAUUCUGUAUCCCGAGGAACGUUUAUUUAGAAAUUAACAAGAAUUUAAAGUUAUUAGUGGAACAAAUGCCCAUGGAAAUAUACUGUAGAGUACUAAAUACUACAAUAUACUAAAUAAAUGCUAAAUAAUACUAAAAAUCA